This 806-nucleotide long non-coding RNA is filed under the name Homo sapiens (human). Its description in RNAcentral is "non-protein coding lnc-ADAM10-5:1". Lineage: Eukaryota; Metazoa; Chordata; Mammalia; Primates; Hominidae. The record is from RNAcentral.
CCUGAGAGUUCAGCAGUACAGUCUUCAUCUUUUGAAAGGCGGGAUCGCUUUGUUGGUCAAAGUGAGGGGAAAAAAGCACGACCUACUGCACGAAGGGAAGAUCCAAGCUUCGAAAGAUAUCCCAAAAAUUUCAGUGACUCCAGAAGAAAUGAGCCUCCACCACCAAGAAAUGAACUUAGAGAAUCAGACAGGCGAGAAGUACGAGGGGAGCGAGACGAAAGGAGAACGGUGAUUAUUCAUGACAGGCCUGAUAUCACUCAUCCUAGACAUCCUCGAGAGGCAGGGCCCAAUCCUUCCAGACCCACCAGCUGGAAAAGUGAAGGAAGCAUGUCCACUGACAAACGGGAAACAAGAGUUGAAAGGCCAGAACGAUCUGGGAGAGAAGUAUCAGGGCACAGUGUGAGAGGCGCUCCCCCUGGGAAUCGUAGCAGCGCUUCGGGGUACGGGAGCAGAGAGGGAGACAGAGGAGUCAUCACAGACCGAGGAGGUGGAUCACAGCACUAUCCUGAGGAGCGACAUGUGGUUGAACGCCAUGGACGGGACACAAGCGGACCAAGGAAAGAGUGGCAUGGUCCACCCUCUCAAGGGCCUAGCUAUCAUGAUACGAGGCGAAUGGGUGACGGCCGGGCAGGAGCAGGCAUGAUAACCCAACAUUCAAGGUAAAUAACUAACCAGUUUUUCUGCCAGCACACAACCAACACUUUAUCCUUUCCAUAAAAGUCAUUAUAGUUUCUGAGAGACUGAAUUGCAACUACUGAAAACCCUAGAUCUGCCUGAACAUUUCCCUGUAUCAACCCGUAGUCUCC